This 249-nucleotide unclassified non-coding RNA is filed under the name Hevea brasiliensis (rubber tree). Lineage: Eukaryota; Viridiplantae; Streptophyta; Magnoliopsida; Malpighiales; Euphorbiaceae. The record is from RNAcentral.
GAAGGUGAAGUUUGAACACCAGAGGCCGUCAAGGCUACAAGAGCUCCCUAUCCCGGAAUGGAAGUGGAAAAUGAUCACGAUGGAUUUUAUAAUUGGGUUGCCUUGUACCAUGCGCGGAUAUGAUUCGAUAUGGGUAAUUAUAGACCGCUUAAUUAAAUCAGCUCACUUCUUGCCAGUGAAGAUCACAUAUUCUAUUGCACAGUAUGCCCGACUCUAUAUUCAAGAAAAGUCAGAUUGCAUGGAGUUCCG